RNAcentral lists this ribosomal RNA (421 nucleotides) under uncultured bacterium. RNAcentral's name for it is "bacterial SSU rRNA". It matches the Rfam family "Bacterial small subunit ribosomal RNA", at positions 358 to 796 of the family's 1533-position model. The record is from RNAcentral.
GGAAUAUUGCGCAAUGGAGGAAACUCUGACGCAGCCAUGCCGCGUGAGUGAAGAAGGCCUUAGGGUUGUAAAGCUCUUUCAGACGUGAUGAUGAUGACAGUAGCGUCAAAAGAAGUUCCGGCUAACUUCGUGCCAGCAGCCGCGGUAAUACGAAGGGAACUAGCGUUGUUCGGAUUUACUGGGCGUAAAGAGCAUGUAGGCGGAUUGGACAGUUGAGGGUGAAAUCCCAGAGCUCAACUCUGGAACGGCCUUCAAUACUUCCAGUCUAGAGUCCGUAAGGGGGUGGUGGAAUUCCGAGUGUAGAGGUGAAAUUCGUAGAUAUUCGGAGGAACACCAGUGGCGAAGGCGACCACCUGGUACGGUACUGACGCUGAGAUGCGAAAGCGUGGGGAGCAAACAGGAUUAGAAACCCCAGUAGUCC